CCUACGGGAGGCAGCAGUGAGGAAUAUUGGUCAAUGGACGCGAGUCUGAACCAGCCAAGUAGCGUGAAGGAUGACUGCCCUAUGGGUUGUAAACUUCUUUUAUAUGGGAAUAAAAUGUUGCACGUGUGGGAUUUUGUAUGUACCAUAUGAAUAAGGAUCGGCUAACUCCGUGCCAGCAGCCGCGGUAAUACGGAGGAUCCGAGCGUUAUCCGGAUUUAUUGGGUUUAAAGGGAGCGUAGGUGGAUUGUUAAGUCAGUUGUGAAAGUUUGCGGCUUAACCGUAAAAUUGCAGUUGAAACUGGCAGUCUUGAGUACAGUAGAGGUAGGCGGAAUGUGUGGUGUAGCGGUGAAAUGCUUAGAUAUCACGAAGAACUCCGAUUGCGAAGGCAGUUCACUGGACUGUAACUGACACUGAGGCUCGAAAGUGUGGGUAUCAAACAGGAUUAGAUACCCCUGUAGUC
RNAcentral lists this ribosomal RNA (460 nucleotides) under uncultured bacterium. Its description in RNAcentral is "partial 16S ribosomal RNA". It matches the Rfam family "Bacterial small subunit ribosomal RNA", at positions 338 to 795 of the family's 1533-position model. The record is from RNAcentral.